GACCUUGCGGAUGGCGCAUUUGGGGGAGCGCGGGCAGCCACCAAGCUUGCCCGUUAUACCGCGGCCCGGGUUCAACUCCCGGGCCGGUCA
Dichotomopilus funicola is the source of this 90-nucleotide non-coding RNA. The record is from the annotation of a RefSeq genome assembly. Lineage: Eukaryota; Fungi; Ascomycota; Sordariomycetes; Sordariales; Chaetomiaceae.